GCACCAAACAAGGGACACCUCUUUGGAA
This 28-nucleotide non-coding RNA is filed under the name Mus musculus (house mouse). The record is from RNAcentral. Lineage: Eukaryota; Metazoa; Chordata; Mammalia; Rodentia; Muridae. RNAcentral also lists the same sequence under 1 other name.